This is a long non-coding RNA of Quercus lobata, 395 nucleotides long. RefSeq lists it as uncharacterized. The transcript has 3 exons. The record is from RefSeq and is a predicted model, not a curated record. NCBI's taxonomy places the organism in Eukaryota, Viridiplantae, Streptophyta, Magnoliopsida, Fagales, Fagaceae.
UUGGAUGACCCAGAUGGAUGCAUCUUCAAGUGAACAGAUGCGGAAUGAAUCCACUGGAGGUCAGCCUUUUGACUGGGAAAGCGUUCUCAAUGUCCCAGAUGAGCUUUCCAGCCUUGAAACUUUUCUGGAUGGAAUAGCUGAAAAUUUUAAUGGGGAUGUUAGUGCUUGUGAACAUUUUAACAACCUCUGAUGCCGUUUGCUGGAUUAUCUGAGUCUGAAGUCUCACUCUGGUGGCGUCAUCCCAAAUCCAAGAAAAAUGCUUCUCUGUUGGAUGCGUCUUUGUUCUCUUUGAUUCUACCUGCUUUCCUAAAAGUGUAGUUUUUUUGUUUUCAACUCAGGAUUUCAGUCCUUGUUUGCUUUAAAUUCCGUCUGUCUGUUUGUUUAAAUAAGUGUAA